CCAGGGAUGACGAACUGCCUCGAACGCCUCCGAGAUCUUUUCACGCGAUAGGUAUCUUUUCACACUUUGUGAAAGCUACUUGUUUAUUUGAGGGAUUGUUUAUGUGAGGAUUGCCGUUGUGCACUGUACGCUUUAGGUAUUGCAGUGUUUGCUGUCUAUGGGAUAAAGCCGACCGGGGGAAGGACUGAGUGAGACAAAAGACAAGCACGUCCGUCCUGUGUGCGCACAUUCAGUCAGGUACCCCGAACGUCACCUCAGGUACACCGUACGUGAGUGACCUCUACGACCUGAGGCGGUCAGGUACACCGAACGUCACCUCUACGACCUACAAGCGAUAUAUUGGCUCGCUCCCACCGAAACAACUAUUGGACUCCAAUGCAGAUUUAACGGCAAACGCCAUCUUCUAACUUGGGGUGUGUUGUCCUGUAUGCGGACACAGCGGCUAGGGAGCCCCUGUCCGUUCCUUCCCAAGCGUGCACCUUUUUAUGUGACCAAAGGGUGUGUGCGAGAGGGAAGAGGGAGGAAGAGAGAGAACAAGGAGGGGGAUACGGAGCCCAGACCGACUUGCUGAUGCCUGUGACUCAUUCUCAGGCAACGUUAGCAACUGAACUUCUCACCUCAUUACAACAACUAGCCGGUGUGGAUCCCUAGGAAUCUACUAGAUUCUCUUAAUUAGUGGGAAACAAGCCCAUCGGCAGUUGGCACUUUGACUGGAUUUUCUGCAGCAGCUAUGGACUGGGGAUUUCCCAGCUGCACUUGCUUCUAAGAACUGUCACCUUAUCUCUUCAGGACCAUCUUCCGAGCAACAAGACAAAAAGCAAUGAGGCUGGACGCGUCCCGCAAGUGUGACAGCUCAGUCACAUCUUCUACAUGUUUACACGCCGUGUUGCUGUGCUUGUGGGUGCAGAUGAUCCUGUUGACUCAACACUGACGAUUCUUGAGAAAGGACUUUUUUUUUCUAUGCUAUUGCUCCACUGGAAACAUAAAGGAACUGAAAAAUGUUUACUUAUUCAACACAAAUAUUAAGAUGUUUGCUGCUGAAGAAAAUGUUGACUUUCGAAUUCAUGUAGAAAAUCAAACAAGAGGAAGAGAUGACGUGAGUAGAAAGCAGCUUCGGCUCUAUCAGCUCUAUAGCAGAACAAGUGGGAAACAUAUACAAAUACUAGGAAGAAGAAUAAGCGCAAAGGGAGAAGAUGGAGAUAAGUAUGCCCAGCUGCUAGUGGAAACUGACACAUUUGGCAGCCAAGUCCGGAUUAAAGGAAGAGAGACAGAUUUUUACCUUUGUAUGAACAGAAAAGGCAAGCUUAU
Molecule: RNA transcript, 1308 nt
Organism: Rana temporaria (common frog)
Lineage: Eukaryota; Metazoa; Chordata; Amphibia; Anura; Ranidae
Gene: FGF18
Gene name: fibroblast growth factor 18
Exons: 4
Source: RefSeq, a predicted model, not a curated record